Molecule: ribosomal RNA, 482 nt
Filed under: uncultured bacterium
Lineage: Bacteria
Description: partial 16S ribosomal RNA
Rfam family: Bacterial small subunit ribosomal RNA
Source: RNAcentral
AUUGAACGCUGGCGGCAUGCCUUACACAUGCAAGUCGAACGGUAACGGGCCUUCGGGUGCCGACGAGUGGCGAACCGGUGAGUAAUACAUCGGAACGUGCCCGAUCGUGGGGGAUAACGAGGCGAAAGCUUUGCUAAUACCGCAUACGAUCUACGGAUGAAAGCAGGGGACCGCAAGGCCUUGCGCGGACGGAGCGGCCGAUGGCAGAUUAGGUAGUUGGUGGGAUAAAAGCUUACCAAGCCGACGAUCUGUAGCUGGUCUGAGAGGAUGAUCAGCCACACUGGGACUGAGACACGGCCCAGACUCCUACGGGAGGCAGCAGUGGGGAAUUUUGGACAAUGGGCGCAAGCCUGAUCCAGCCAUGCCGCGUGCAGGAUGAAGGCCUUCGGGUUGUAAACUGCUUUUGUACGGAACGAAAAGCCUUCUUUUAAUACAGGAGGGUCAUGACGGUACCGUAAGAAUAAGCACCGGCUAACUACGUG